UCGUAACAAGGUUUCCGUAGGUGAACCUGCGGAAGGAUCAUUACCUAGAGUUGUAGGCUUUGCCUGCUAUCUCUUACCCAUGUCUUUUGAGUACCUUACGUUUCCUCGGUGGGUUCGCCCACCGAUUGGACAAACUUAAACCCUUUGCAGUUGAAAUCAGCGUCUGAAAAAACUUAAUAGUUACAACUUUCAACAACGGAUCUCUUGGUUCUGGCAUCGAUGAAGAACGCAGCGAAAUGCGAUAAGUAGUGUGAAUUGCAGAAUUCAGUGAAUCAUCGAAUCUUUGAACGCACAUUGCGCCCCUUGGUAUUCCAUGGGGCAUGCCUGUUCGAGCGUCAUUUGUACCUUCAAGCUCUGCUUGGUGUUGGGUGUUUGUCUCCUGUAGACUCGCCUUAAAACAAUUGGCAGCCGGCGUAUUGAUUUCGGAGCGCAGUACAUCUCGCGCUUUGCACUCAUAACGACGACAUCCAAAAGUACAUUUUUACACUCUUGACCUCGGAUCAGGUAGGGAUACCCGCUGAACUUAAGCAUAUCAAUAA
RNAcentral lists this unclassified non-coding RNA (539 nucleotides) under Epicoccum pneumoniae. RNAcentral's name for it is "sequence contains ITS1, 5.8S rRNA gene, ITS2". The stretch from base 185 to 338 matches the Rfam family "5.8S ribosomal RNA". Lineage: Eukaryota; Fungi; Ascomycota; Dothideomycetes; Pleosporales; Didymellaceae. The record is from RNAcentral.